Molecule: ribosomal RNA, 485 nt
Filed under: Bactrocera moluccensis
Lineage: Eukaryota; Metazoa; Arthropoda; Insecta; Diptera; Tephritidae
Description: partial large subunit ribosomal RNA
Source: RNAcentral
AAAACAUGUCUUUUUGAGUUAUAUUUAAAGUCUGACCUGCCCACUGAAAUUAUUUAAAUGGCCGCAGUAUUUUAACUGUGCAAAGGUAGCAUAAUCAUUAGUCUUUUAAUUGAAGGCUGGUAUGAAUGGUUGGACGAAGUAUAAGCUGUUUCAUAUAAAUUUAUAGUAGAAUUUUAUAUUUUAGUUAAAAAGCUAAAAUUUAGUUAAAAGACGAGAAGACCCUAUAAAUCUUUAUAUUUUAUGUUGUUUUAAUUUUUUAGAUUUAUUUUAUUUUUAUAGUUUAGAAUAUUUUGUUGGGGUGAUAUUAAAAUUUAAUGAACUUUUAAUUAUUUAGAAUCAUUAAUUUAUGUUUUAUUGAUCCGUUAAUAGUGAUUAUAAGAUCAAGUUACUUUAGGGAUAACAGCGUAAUUUUUUUGGAGAGUUCAUAUCGAUAAAAAGGGUUGCGACCUCGAUGUUGGAUUAAGAAAUAUUUUUAGGUGUAGUUG